UGCCUACUCCCACGAGACAAAAAUAGGAACCUGUUGGCUCUAGCUCAUCAUGCCAGAAGAAAUAGAACUUAGGUCUCUGGGAAGAAACAGUAGUGGUGAGGUUGUGCUAAAUGGACCCUACCACUGUUCUGAAAAUUCCAGAUGUCCAGACUGUGAAAAGUUUUCAUAUCUGGCAUACUCCUUUCUUAUAUUCUUGACAGUACUGCUAUUUUCAGUGUAUCUACUUUUUGUGUGUCCAUUUGAAAUAAAACAUUUGUAUGGUACUUGGCAGAGUGGAGACUCUAUAUUGGCUGGAGAAGUGGGGCCCAUAUUGAACAGAACUGUUACUUCAAAAUCUUGUUGGAGGGGGCCCAGAUGUGAAAUGUUUAUUCCAAACAUCCCUAUUAUCCUGCCAAAUGAUACAAUUUAUCCAAAUUUUACAAAUUACAAUGGAAGCUAUGCUGAUUAUAGGACUACUCUUCAAGAAAUAAUUCAUACCAUCUUAUAUGAUCAAUGUAACGUCACUGUUUUGUUGCACACAUCCUUUGGGAAGACAUAUGGUAUGGAUGAUGUAUUUUUUAAAACAGUCAUGUAUAAACUCAUCACUUCAUUUUUGAUGGAGGGAAGUACCAUGUGUGAUCUGAAGACGGCAGCCAGGGAUGUUUAUGUCUUACACUCACUAUCCCACCUCCAUGAUGUUGGAAAGGGCUGUAAACUAAGACUUGAUAACAUUUAUGAUGAAUCUUCAGGGAGCCACUACAGUCGAGAGUGUGUAAAGCAGUUUGAUUGUAUGUUGUGUAUUUACCCCAAGUCUAUAAGUGUUUCCUUUAAUUAAAAACUACCACCCACUAUAUUUAAAAUUUGUACAAAUAAAAUGUGGUACGUGUCAGAAAAUUACACUAUGACAGAAACAACUACCAUCUCUGGACAAACAUCAUCUGGAUUUUCAUUUCAUGUGCCUAUCAUGGUCAUAGUGUUGAUUUUGCUGAUUAUUGGACUGUUGCUGUAUGGAGCAUAUAAGUGCUUUUUCUGGGUUAUGUACAAGCGGGCACAGAUAAUGGGGUUGCCAGCCCAAGCACUCUUGUCACGUGUAAAGGUGUAAAAAUCAUUGUACAAACUUGACUAAAUAAAGAUUAUUUUAUUGAAAAA
This 1128-nucleotide non-coding RNA is filed under the name synthetic construct. The record is from RNAcentral.